CAAAAAAGCUACGCCACGGAAAAAGAAGGCGUAGCCCAUAGGCGUCCAUGGAACGGCGAAAAAUCAGCCCCCUCUCUGAGCGCCUCGCCCCGCCCCUAUGGCCCGAAGGAGCAUAGGAUGAGAACUAUCCCGGGGACCAAUCAGCAUGCGCGCCCGGCGUGGACGAGCCCCCCUCUCUGCACCCAAUCACCUGCGACCGCGCCCUACAAAACAUCCGGCCAGCGCCACCCAAACCCCCAGGUGCCCUGACUCUGGCGCUCCCACCUGGUGAUGACCGACGGAGCGCUGACAGGCACAUCCAGGGCAUGGCUGCUCCCCCGCGCCCCGCCCUCCCCAAACAUCUCUG
Long non-coding RNA from Eublepharis macularius, 346 nucleotides. RefSeq lists it as uncharacterized. The record is from RefSeq and is a predicted model, not a curated record. Lineage: Eukaryota; Metazoa; Chordata; Lepidosauria; Squamata; Eublepharidae. The transcript has 3 exons.